Molecule: ribosomal RNA, 253 nt
Filed under: uncultured bacterium
Lineage: Bacteria
Description: partial 16S ribosomal RNA
Rfam family: Bacterial small subunit ribosomal RNA
Source: RNAcentral
UACGUAGGGGGCGAGCGUUGUCCGGAAUUAUUGGGCGUAAAGAGCGUGUAGGCGGCCAGAUAGGUCCGUUGUGAAAACUGGAGGCUUAACCUCCAGCGGUCGAUGGAAACCAUUUGGCUAGAGUCCGGAAGAGGAGAGUGGAAUUCCUGGUGUAGCGGUGAAAUGCGCAGAUAUCAGGAAGAACACCCGUGGCGAAGGCGGCUCUCUGGGACGGUACUGACGCUGAGACGCGAAAGCGUGGGGAGCGAACAGG